UAAGGCGGCAGAGCGGCAGGGCCCCACCUCUUCCCAUACCGAACAGAGAAGUUAAGCCUGCCAGCGCCGAUGGUACUGGUUCAUUCCGGGAGAGUAGGCCGCCGCCACCC
RNAcentral lists this ribosomal RNA (110 nucleotides) under Uliginosibacterium sp. The record is from RNAcentral. Lineage: Bacteria; Pseudomonadati; Pseudomonadota; Betaproteobacteria; Rhodocyclales; Zoogloeaceae.